GCCGGGAGUCGUGGCGCGCGCCUGUAGUCUCAGCUACUCGGGAGGCUGAGGUGGGAAGAUCGCUUGAGCCCAGGAGUUCGAGGAUGCAGUGAGCUAUGAUCGCACCACUGCACUCCAGCCUGGGCGACAGAGCGAGACCCUGUUUCUU
RNAcentral lists this non-coding RNA (148 nucleotides) under Nomascus leucogenys (northern white-cheeked gibbon). Lineage: Eukaryota; Metazoa; Chordata; Mammalia; Primates; Hylobatidae. The record is from Rfam by way of RNAcentral.